This 136-nucleotide microRNA precursor is filed under the name Hordeum vulgare. RNAcentral's name for it is "microRNA MIR1122". It matches the Rfam family "MIR1120/MIR1122 microRNA precursor family". Lineage: Eukaryota; Viridiplantae; Streptophyta; Magnoliopsida; Poales; Poaceae. The record is from RNAcentral.
GUAGUAUUCCCUCCGUCCUAAAAUUCUUGUCUUAGAUUUGUUUAGAUAUAAAUGUAUCUAGUCAAGUUUUAGUAUUUAGAUACAUCCAUUUCUAGACAAAGUUAAGACAAGAAUUUUGGGACGGAGGGAGUACCAA